UUUUCUCUGGUGGAGCCUUGUUGCUAACGACCAUGGAUGGCGAGGAUUUUCCAUCCCCUGUGAAUGCGGACGCAGUUAAAAAAUACUUCGUAUAAAGAGACCCGCUGGACAAAAAGAAUAAAAGAGUCCAGGCAAAAAUGGGCAUCCCGGCGAACCAAAAAAAACAAAAAGAAACGGUUCUGGCAAAAAUUAGGGAUAAAAAUGAAAA
RNAcentral lists this long non-coding RNA (208 nucleotides) under Lathyrus oleraceus (garden pea). Its description in RNAcentral is "Pisum sativum (pea) long non-coding RNA (PSAT_LNC024856)". The record is from RNAcentral. Lineage: Eukaryota; Viridiplantae; Streptophyta; Magnoliopsida; Fabales; Fabaceae.